This 30-nucleotide non-coding RNA is filed under the name Rattus norvegicus (Norway rat). Lineage: Eukaryota; Metazoa; Chordata; Mammalia; Rodentia; Muridae. The record is from RNAcentral.
UGCCACUCUUGAAGGACCUUCACUAUUGUA